GACGAACGCUGGCGGCGUGCUUAACACAUGCAAGUCGAACGGAAAGGCCCUGCUUUUGUGGGGUGCUCGAGUGGCGAACGGGUGAGUAACACGUGAGUAACCUGCCCUUGACUUUGGUAUAACUUCAGGAAACUGGGGCUAAUACCGGAUAGGAGCUCCUGCUGCAUGGUGGGGGUUGGAAAGUUUCGGCGGUUGGGGAUGGACUCGCGGCUUAUCAGCUUGUUGGUUGGGUAGUGGCUUACCAAGGCUUUGACGGGUAGCCGGCCUGAGAGGGUGACCGGCCACAUUGGGACUGAGAUACGGACCAGACUGCUACGGGAGGCAGCAGUGGGGAAUAUUGCACAAUGGGCGGAAGCCUGAUGAAGAAACGCCGCGUGCGGGAUGACGGCCUUCGGGUUGUAAACCGCUUCAGCCUGUGACGAAGCGUGAGUGACGGUAAUGGGUAAAGAAGCACCGGCUAACUACGUG
This 468-nucleotide ribosomal RNA is filed under the name uncultured bacterium. RNAcentral's name for it is "partial 16S ribosomal RNA". It matches the Rfam family "Bacterial small subunit ribosomal RNA", at positions 28 to 507 of the family's 1533-position model. The record is from RNAcentral.